UGAGCGCGCUUCGGCGCUGCCUUAUUCACCCACCCUUUGUCUACGUGUACCUCUAUAGCUUCCUCGGCGGGCUCGCCCGCCGCCAGGAACCCACAAAACCCCUUGCAUUAUACACGAAAACUUCUGAUAACAAACCUAAAUUAUCACAACUUUCAACAAUGGAUCUCUUGGUUCUGGCAUCGAUGAAGAACGCAGCGAAAUGCGAUAAGUAGUGUGAAUUGCAGAAUUCAGUGAAUCAUCGAAUCUUUGAACGCACAUUGCGGCCAUAGGUAUUCCUUUGGCCAUGCCUGUUCGAGCGUCAUUUACACCCUCAAGCCUAGCUUGGUGUUGGGCGUCUGUCCCGCCGUUUUCGCGCGCGGACUCGCCUCAAAGUCAUUGGCGGCGGUCGUGCCGGCCCCUCGCGCAGCACAUUUGCGCUUCUCGGAGGCCCGGCGGAUCCGCGCUCCAGCAAAGACCUUUCAUGACCGGCGAGUGAAGCGGCAACAGCUCAAAUUUGAAAUCUGGCCCCUUCGGGGUCCGAGUUGUAAUUUGCAGAGGGUGCUUUGGCGUUGGCGGCGGUCUAAGUUCCUUGGAACAGGACAUCGCAGAGGGUGAGAAUCCCGUAUGUGGUCGCCUGCCUUCGCCGUGUAAAGCCCCUUCGACGAGUCGAGUUGUUUGGGAAUGCAGCUCUAAAUGGGAGGUAAAUUUCUUCUAAAGCUAAAUACCGGCCAGAGACCGAUAGCGCACAAGUAGAGUGAUCGAAAGAUGAAAAGCACUUUGGAAAGAGAGUCAAACAGCACGUGAAAUUGUUGAAAGGGAAGCGCUUGCAGCCAGACUUGCCUGUAGUUGCUCACCCGGGCUCCUGCCCGGGGCACUCUUCUGCAGGCAGGCCAGCAUCAGUUUGGGCGGUUGGAUAAAGGGCUCUGACACGUACUUCCCCUCGGGGUUGACAUACAGGGGAGCCGCAAUGCGACCAGCCCGGACUGAGGUCCGCGCAUCUGCUAGGAUGCUGGCGUAAUGGCUGUAAGCGGCCCGUCUUGAAACACGGACCAAGGAGUCUAACAUCUAUGCGAGUGUUUGGGUGUCAAGCCCGAGCGCGUAAUGAAAGUGAACGGAGGUGGGAACCCCUCGGGGUGCACCAUCGACCGAUCCUGAUGUCUUCGGAUGGAUUUG
This 1152-nucleotide small RNA is filed under the name Periconia sp. 9 MU-2012. RNAcentral's name for it is "eukaryotic LSU rRNA". The stretch from base 454 to 1152 matches the Rfam family "Eukaryotic large subunit ribosomal RNA", at positions 1 to 792 of the family's 3401-position model. Lineage: Eukaryota; Fungi; Ascomycota; Dothideomycetes; Pleosporales; Periconiaceae. The record is from RNAcentral.